UUGUAAACCCAUCCGGAAUCUUGCUUAUUUGUCGCCUAUGACAGAUUUUCUAACCUAAAUUGUCAUCAACUUUAACAAUUUAUAUCUCGCUCCACAAGGCAGAGCGACGAUUUUUUCAAAUAGAAAAGUUGUUUUUCUUGCAAAAACGCGUCGAUUAAAUAUUUUUUCGUUGAUAUCGGAGAUGGACAUGUAUAGAUUGGCAAAAGCGUUCAAAAACCAUUGCGUUAUCAAACGUCAUCUGAUGAGGAACCAAAGCACAAGAGGAAUACUACAUUGAUCGCACCUUCUACCACCUGGGAUAAUCAACACGGACAUCAAUGACAUCGAGAGGAUGCUGCAACAAAAUGAGAAGACAACAUAUUUUAAUAUCCAUCCAGAAUUAACACAAACAUCACAUAAAGAAAUAUGCACACAUGGAAACACAUACAAACAUUUCUCUUGACAAGGGAUAUACUUCACAUAUACAGACACACACAAAUAUAGGAUAUACUGCACACAAACACAUAACACACACACAUCUAUGUGAAGCUAGCCCCUUAUUAUCAAAAUUUGAAAAAAAUGAUUAGAGUUCUAGUUGCCCCCCAAAGAGUUCUAGAGUUCUCAAUCACACAAAUAUUGAAUUCUCUCUAAAUAUACAGACCAAUAAUAAUUAAUAAUAUAAGUUUUACAUUGCGCACAGAUUAUGAUAAAACAUAUUAUACUAAUGACGCUUUAUCUCAGUUCCAAGACUUGACACCAAUUAUGACGAUGCAAGAUGCACACCAUCAACAUCAAUAUCAACAUGAUUAUGCCAUCUAUGAGACUAUGCCAUCACAAGAGACCUCAGUAUAGGAAGAUAUUACAUAUAAAAGCCCAGCAAACUAUACAGAACUCAUGGAACAAUGAGUCAGAAGAGGACGACAUUGAGGAUACGAACGACGAGUAAGAAUAGUAUUGCGAUGGAUAUGUAAUGGACCAAGGAACAAGAUUCAAUGUAUCACUUUGACUUAAGUCACCCAGAGAAUGGAGAAGCAGAAGAAAAAGAAACAAGAUGAGGAAGAGGAAAAGACAGGAAAGAAAGGAGGAAUAUGUGGAGGAGAGAGAAUAUGGAGAAAGAGUGAUUGUAAAAUAAGGAGGAAAAAUCUGUGUAGUUUCUGUCUGUCGACAGACGAAUUUUCAGACUUUUCAGUGCCACAUUUUCUUAAUGUGUCAAACGUUGAUCAACUUAUCGUAUUAGCAAUGUGCAAUCGGUGCUUCUUAGCCACAUCAACUGCAAUGAACACUUACACUCGAGAUUAAUUUCCAAAUUUUCUUGAAUGUUGCAGAAACGUUUUCGAGUUCUGUAUGGAGCAGAUUUUCUCUUCAAUAACUCUCAUCGAGGAAGACAAUGAAGAAUCCACCAGAUGAAAAUUAUACUUCAUUCUUGUUAUAUAUCUAUGAAAGAAGGAGGGCGUACUAGGUGGCAACGGGACGCCGUGCGUUCGGGACCUGCAUCUUAUUUUCGUUCCGAAGAGAGAAAAAUAUCGAGAGCAUGGGCGUACGUCUUGUCCGGCCUCUCCAGACGCUGUUAUGUAUACAACUCACAACCACCGCUCCGCCACAUUUGGAGCCUCCUCAAUUGAAACCAACCCUAGCGCGUAUCCGCGUAAAUACAUAACAAUUUCAAGGGGCAUUUCUGUAUGCCGAUGUUCCGUAGACGAUAACGGCCAGGUAUACUUUUCGUCAAAGCA
Molecule: long non-coding RNA, 1709 nt
Filed under: Harpegnathos saltator (Jerdon's jumping ant)
Lineage: Eukaryota; Metazoa; Arthropoda; Insecta; Hymenoptera; Formicidae
Description: uncharacterized LOC105182677, transcript variant X2
Source: RNAcentral